UUUAAGCAUAUCACUCAGUGGAGGAAGAGCAAGCAACCGCGAUUGCUUCAGUAAUGGCGAAUGAACUGGCAAACCCUUGGCUCAGCCUGAAUGGAUCCUAAUCUGCCUCAGUGAAGCUUCGGCGACAUUGCAGUGUCAGAUCGGCUAUCUCUGGGAAACCAAUGCUGUGGGCUACGGAGCGGUCAGUGAUGCAAGGUUUGGCUGCGGUGCCUGGAAGGUGCCCUGGAAUGGACCACGAGAGAGGGAUAUUGUCCCAUACAACGAGCAGUGUGCCGUGGCCACCGAGUGUUGCUGACUGUAUCCAAGAGUAGAGCUGUUUGAGACUGCAGUUUGAAGUGCAAGAUGUGUCUCUUGCAAGGCACAAUACCACCAUGGGACCGAUAGUGCACAAGUAGAGUGAUUGAAGGAUGCAAAGGACUUUGCGAAGAGGGUUAAAAGUCCCUGAAGCCUCUGCAGGAACGGCGGUGUGUGGUGCUGCAAUCUCUGUGAACCAAGCGACCUUGGGCCAGCCCUCGACUGGCCACUGAGCCUAUGCCUGAAGGUGUGGAUGCAAUCGUCGGCAGUCGUUGGUGACAGCAAGCCUGUCUGGGCCUGAGGUUUGAAGCAACAAGGCUGAAACGCUGACCGCUGUGGCGGGACGCUAUCCUCAAACGUGGUGAGCUGCUGGUUGUUGGCCCUGGUGUGUCUCCGGGCAUGCCAGUCAUCUGAUCCUUCUCAGUGGGCCUUGGGACGGUGCGAGAGCUCCACGACUCUGCUUGUGGCUCGAGUGCAGUUCCGUUGGUCUCUGGAUGGGGUUGGGUGAGGCCGUGGCAGUGUAGCUUGGUACAACAGUGCCAUACACUGCCCGUCUUGAAACACGGACCAAGGAGUCUAUGGACGUUGCCAGUCGGCAAGUGUGAGCAUGGAAAGCUGCCAAAGGCUCGGUGAGAGCAAGCAAAGGGCCACUCCCGUGGUUCCCUCCAGAUGUGGUGCAACAACGAGUGUGAGCGUGGCUCGACAAAGGGAUGGAUGAUUGCCUCGUGGCUAAUCUCUGCUGCUGAUGUGUCAAGGAUGAGAAAGUGUCUGAGUGCUGCCUCUGAAGUCUCCCAAGAGCCCCAACAACGCUGGCCUUGUCUGUGUGUGCUUCCUGCAUGGAACACCAGUCCCUGUGUUCAGUGAACGGGGCUUUGAGUGCUUGCAACGUCCAUGUGACCCGAAAGGUGGUGAACUAUGCCAUUCCAUGACGAAGCCAUGGGAAACUGUGGUGGAGGUCAGUAGCUGUUCUGACGUGCAAAUUGUGUAGCCUGAGUGUGGCAUAGGGGCGAAAGGCCAAUCGAACCACCUAGUAGCUGGUUUCCCUCGAAGUUUCCCUCARGAUAGCUGGGCUCAAGUGCAAUCCACUGUGCAGAGAUGCGGCUCAUGAGUGGUUCUGUCCGGUAAAGCAAUGCAUGAGAGGCUUCAGCGGGGAGCCCAGCUCCUCGACCUAUCCUCAAACUGUGAAUGGGCAAGGCAAACAGCCAUGAACAAGGCAUGCUUCUUCACCAGUGCCUGAGUCUGGUGCUCCUCGGCAGCAUCCAGUUCUCCCAAGGUCUUCUGCUGAGCGUGUUUCCCCUGAGCUCCAUGGCCGAUGGCCGAAGAGACACAUUGACUGUGCUGGGCAGCUGCUGCGGCUGAUGAAGGAGGUUGGUGACAGUGGUUCUGUUGCACCCUGGUGCUGAGGACACACGGCCCUCUCUCUGGAUUCUUCUUGCACUGUGGGCUGGCGCUGGUCUGUGUCAAACAGCAACAACGCUCCUCUGAGCUGUCUUCCAUGUGCAAUGUGGCCUGAACAAGAGAGUCUGUGUGGACCAGGAUUGGUAAGCAGUGCUGGUGAUGCGGGAUGCUCCGAGAGUGGACUUACAGUGCCUGAGUGCUGGCUCAUACUCAGAUCCCACAAAGGAUGCUGCAUGCUAUGGAUAGCAGGUCGGUGGCCAUGAAGGUUGGAACCCGCUAAGGACUGUGUAACAACUCACCUGCCGAAGUGUGCAGCUCCCAAAAUGGAUGGUGCCUAAGUCAGUGAAGCUGAAUGUGCCUUACAGUCCACCACUGCUGUGGUGUUGAGCAAGCAGAGCAUCAGUGUGUAGAGAGGACACAGAGGAUUGCUGUGCCAGUUGGGAGUGAUCCUGACUGGAGCGUCCUCCGGCACAGAUCUUGGUUGCAGUAGCGAGUACUCCAUCGAGUGAGGAGCAGUUAACAACACUGCCAUGUGUGGUUGAGGACUGGAGUGGAGCAGGCUUCUGCAUCAAACAGCCGUUGAAUGCAGGUCAGUCGACCGUGAGCCAAGUGGUGAGCUCAGAGUGAACUCUACCAAAGCUGUCAAGGUCCUCGGCUGUGCAGUCGGUGAUGGAACCAGCAUGCCACAGUGUGUCCUCAGGGGCACUUCUGGCACAGAGCUGCUGCAGGGCUCUGUCUGCCGUGUGGGCUGUGUUUCUGACCAGGCUGUGUCAGCUGGGGCCACUGCCUGAUGGGAUUGGCAAACAGGCAAGCAUGUGCAACAUUCUGCUACAACGGGCUUGGAACUCGCCGGCAAACCCGGUGAAUGGUGGUGACACCUCGUGACUGGAGCAAGCAGGCUUUGGGGCAGUGCACCCCAUGGGGAGUUCUCGUUUCCUCCUGAUGCAGACCCAUGUGGGCUACUGAUUGGCAUGACAAGUGGUGAAGUAUGUCCUCCUCUCGGCAAGGCAGUGCAACCUUYGCACUGAUGGUUCUGUCCCUCAACAACAACCAAGUGUGUGCAGCAACCCUUGUGCAACGCAAACCACCAACGGUGGUCACUGGCUCCACUGAAAGGCCUGCGGGACGCUGUCUUCCUGGUCCCUAGAUACUCGUAGGAGCCACACCGCAGCCGGUCUCCAUGACUUGACGUCGCUGGUCAACAGAGUGAAUGCAGCUAAGGGAAGUCGGCAAACUGGCUGUGUACCUUUGGAAGAUGCAGUGGCUCCAGAGGCCUAGUCGCUGGGACCUGUCACAGGUGGUUGUCUUSSSUGGUUUGAGGCUACUCUGCGUGGUGUCUCUCGGGACAUCUAGCGUGGGGAGGCAGCUGCUGCGAGCACCAUUCUCGUGGUGGGGACUCACAACCACCGUGUGGCCCAUGCUGCACGGGAGUCACCCUGGUGUCUACCAAGAGGCCCACGUGGAACUGUUGCUGUGCAGGGGAAUCUGACUGUUUAAUUGAAACCCAGCUUUGUGGCUGUGAUCAGCAGGCUGCUGCCAUGAGGUGACUUCUGCCCAGUGCUCUGGUUGUCAAUGCCAAGAGAUUGAGCCAAGCGCGGGUAAACGGCGGGAGUAACUAUGACUCUCUUAAGGUAGCCAAAUGCCUCGUCAACCAAUUAUUGACGCGCAUGAAUGGAUCAACGAGAUUCCUGCUGUCCCUAGUUGCUAUCUGGUGAACCAACAGCCAAGGGAACGGGCUUGGAUG
RNAcentral lists this ribosomal RNA (3436 nucleotides) under Phacus longicauda. RNAcentral describes it as "partial 28S large subunit ribosomal RNA". It matches the Rfam family "Eukaryotic large subunit ribosomal RNA", at positions 33 to 2392 of the family's 3401-position model. The record is from RNAcentral. Lineage: Eukaryota; Euglenozoa; Euglenophyceae; Euglenales; Phacaceae.